GUGAAUCAUCGAAUUUUUGAACGCAAAUUGCGCUUCCGGGCAUCCCGGGAAGUAUGCCUGUUUGAGGGUCAGUAUUAAUAUAAAAUCGGAUUAGUUACAAAUUUUUACGUUUCCGGAGUUUGUGCUAUCUUAACAUUUUUGUUUAAGAGGCUUAAAAUUGACAUUUUUUUCGCAUGUUUUAACGGACAUAAUUUUUUUUUAUUCGUCUAUUCUUAAUGCGAAGAGCUUAUGAGAUUCGAUCACUUUGUGUG
RNAcentral lists this unclassified non-coding RNA (251 nucleotides) under Glomeraceae sp. RNAcentral describes it as "partial contains 5.8S ribosomal RNA and internal transcribed spacer 2". The stretch from base 1 to 71 matches the Rfam family "5.8S ribosomal RNA", at positions 84 to 154 of the family's 154-position model. The record is from RNAcentral. Lineage: Eukaryota; Fungi; Glomeromycota; Glomeromycetes; Glomerales; Glomeraceae.